GAUGAACGCUGGCGGCGUGCCUAAUACAUGCAAGUCGAGCGAACGGACGAGAGGCUUGCUUCUCUGAUGUUAGCGGCGGACGGGUGAGUAACACGUGGAUAACCUACCUAUAAGACUAGGAUAACUUCGGGAAACCGGAGCUAAUACCGGAUGAUAUUUUGAACCGCAUGGUUCAAAAGUGAAAGACGGUCUUGCUGUCACUUAUAGAUGGAUCCGCGCUGCAUUAGCUAGUUGGUAAGGUAACGGCUUACCAAGGCAACGAUGCAUAGCCGACCUGAGAGGGUGAUCGGCCACACUGGAACUGAGACACGGUCCAGACUCCUACGGGAGGCAGCAGUAGGGAAUCUUCCGCAAUGGGCGAAAGCCUGACGGAGCAACGCCGCGUGAGUGAUGAAGGUCCUCGGAUCGUAAAACUCUGUUAUUAGGGAAGAACAUAUGUGUAAGUAACUGUGCACAUCUUGACGGUACCUAAUCAGAAAGCCACGGCUAACUACGUG
This 497-nucleotide ribosomal RNA is filed under the name uncultured bacterium. RNAcentral's name for it is "partial 16S ribosomal RNA". It matches the Rfam family "Bacterial small subunit ribosomal RNA", at positions 28 to 507 of the family's 1533-position model. The record is from RNAcentral.